This 448-nucleotide ribosomal RNA is filed under the name uncultured bacterium. RNAcentral describes it as "bacterial SSU rRNA". It matches the Rfam family "Bacterial small subunit ribosomal RNA", at positions 29 to 506 of the family's 1533-position model. The record is from RNAcentral.
ACGAACGCUGGCGGCGUGCUUAACACAUGCAAGUCGAACGAGGUAGCAAUACCUAGUGGCGGACGGGUGAGUAACGCGUAGGUAAUCUGCCCAUCGGUGGGGGAUACCCAGUCGAAAGAUUGGUUAAUACCGCAUUCGCUAGUCUCUUGAAAUAGGGAUUAGGAAAGAUUUAUUGCCGAUGGAUGAGCCUGCGUCUGAUUAGCUAGUUGGUGGGGUAACGGCCCACCAAGGCGACGAUCAGUAGCUGGUCUGAGAGGACGAUCAGCCACACUGGAACUGAGACACGGUCCAGACUCCUACGGGAGGCAGCAGUGGGGAAUUUUCCGCAAUGGGCGAAAGCCUGACGGAGCAACGCCGCGUGGAGGAUGAAGCCUUUCGGGGUGUAAACUCCUUUCAGUCGGGACGAGACGAAGACGGUACCGACAGAAGAAGCAUCGGCUAACUACGU